Molecule: long non-coding RNA, 3422 nt
Organism: Arabidopsis lyrata subsp. lyrata
Lineage: Eukaryota; Viridiplantae; Streptophyta; Magnoliopsida; Brassicales; Brassicaceae
Exons: 8
Source: RefSeq, a predicted model, not a curated record
UUGUUAAUCGAAGAAUGGUGAAGGAUACGUUGUUCUCGCCGUUACGAUCUGUAUCGUUGGUGGCGGAUGACUCUGGUGCAACGCCGGAGAUUUUUGAUCAGUUAAACAAUUUGAUUACGCAGAUCACGUGUUCGUCUUCCUCUGACUGAGUCAACUCGCGAUUCGUCGGGACGAGUCAUAUAGAGCACUUGUUUUCUCAAACUUUUCGUAAUCAGCAGGAAAUCGGUUUCUCAUCUGGAACCUAGCCGUAGUGGAAACAUGUUAGGGAUUCAGGGAAACCGAUGGUGCAAAGAAAGGAGAUUCCAAUUUCUAUGGAGUUUAUCCGUAUGGUUGGAUUGCGAGUGUGAAAGUGUGGAGCGAUAUUUUUGACUUGAAAGAGCUUCACAGAGACUGAGAAAUUGGAUUUGGUUUCUGCUAGUUUAACGAGUGUUGUUUUGGAAUGGUACCAUUGGGAGAUAAAUAGGUUGCCAUUUUAGAAUUGGCUUCAUUUUAAAGAUAGAUUGCUUUUCAGAUUUGGUAAUGUGAGAGUUACAGGUCCAAGUCGGAGCUUAUUUUGCAUUAAACAGAAGGGUGCACUUGCUGAGUAUGUGCAAAGAUUUGAAAAAUCAUCUGCUCAACGGUUUAGAUGAUCGUAAGCUUCAAGGGAUUUUUCUGUGUGGGUUAACUCAAGAAAUGCAGGAAAAGGUGCAUGGGAUGAAGCCUCAGAACUUACCACAGAUGAUUGGUAAUUGACUCAAUUCCGGAACCAGCAUCGUGGCAGAGCAAGGAUUCAUUUUUGGUGAUAGAACUAAGCCACCAGCAGGAAUUGCUUCCAGCAGGGAGAUGGCUUUAAUCAAAGAGAGUUCUGGAAGCUAUGAGAUAUUGCUUAUAAACUCUCCGGAUUAAGCAGAGAAACAAUGUCUUGUUGGAUUGGUUGUAUCAUCAAUCAACAAGUGUCACUGAUAAAAGGAAACCAAGAAAGUAUUCAAGGCUUGGAAAUAUUAGCAAAGAUAGCAAACCCGUUAGUUUUUGUUCUCAUGCUAAGUUGGAUUAGUGAGGAAGAGGAGAAGAUUUCGGAGCCUCAGACUGCAGAAGCAAGCUCACAUGGCAAGGGUGUUGUGUAACAUGAGGAUGAUGCAUGCUUCAUGAGACAUGAAAAGAGGGACUUAUACAUGGUAUAUUAAGCCCAUGUUCUUGUGGGAAAGAGAAUCGAGAGAAAGGAAUGCCAUUUCACAAGAGGAGUCAACAUUUCACCAUAUUUUAUACGUUUUCCUUAACCAGAAGGAGCUGCAGGUCACUCAAUUUCACAUGACAUUGGACAAGGGCACUCUUGUUUUGCUGGUUCAACGAGUGUUUCAUAAACUGACAACCUCAUUAUAUGACUCUUUUGAGGUUUUGAAACCUAGAAGACCUGUGGUUUACCAUCUGCGUUCACUUCAAGAUGUCAAUAUUCAACUCAUCAACCUAUCUUUCACAUCUCUCAGUUACACCAUUUGCUGGAUUCUGUUUGGGCGAAGAAGUUUGUGAGUUGGUUGAAUGUUGUUUGCGUGUUAACGGAACUUAUGCGACACAGAGUGGCAGUGAAUGUCGCAAAGUUACAGCUAGCUCUACAAGGGAGAGACUUGAUGUUGUUAAAAGUCAAUACUCAAUUGAAAAGGGUUCAACACAUUAUGCAGCUGACAGCUGCUACACCAAGCCUAGAAAUGGCGUAUACAAUGGGUACAAAACUAGAAAGUGACGUCAUAUUGUUUCAGAUCACAAAACUUUUCUACCAUUGCAUAUUCGCAAGGACUGGCAGAAUUAGAAAUUUGGGCAUUUGAUUCCUUAAAGUAUCGAGAUCGUGGAUCAGCGCACAAUGAUGCUUGGCACAAUCAUGGCCAUGGGAAGGCUUAACGGACCACUCAUUACGGUUUAUGGUGGAACCUUAACAAGUGUUAUGGAGAAUUUGUGGAACCUUUUCCGGCUAUGACAACUAGCUUUUCCGGCUUUGGUGUUAAACCUAUCUAGUGCUUUGUCUAUAUAGAAAAGUCAGGCUUUUCCUGUGCCAACUAGGUAAUUGGUAGCUAGCCUCCACAGAGGCAUUAAACUUCAAAGAGUACUGUGCAGUAAAUACCAAAGUACAGCUCAAAGACGAUCGACAUUCACGUCAUCCUAUAGAGCUCUAGAAUGCAAGUCUUCAACCACUCAACGUAAGGGUGAUGUAGGUGUGCAUACUUAUCCCCAAGCUGAUAUGAUAGCGAUGAGAACCCAAAAGUAGUACUGUGUAGUUAAUGCAAAUGUAUAGCAGAAUGUGUUGCCCAAGAAACAAGUGAAACUUCAAAUCUCGAGUUAGUAGUUGUUGACAAGUCACAAGUUACAGAAAAGUCCAAUUUCCAAGUUCCUAAAGCAGUGGAAAAUGUUCGUGCAGGGUCUAUCAGAAGAGAAAUGGCUCUGGAAGAGUUCUGCGCAUAAGCAAGCCUCUGAAAAUAUCACAGCUUAAUCGGCUGGUUGCAAUAAUACAAACAUGAGAGAGAUAGAGUGUGCAGCAAUGCCAGCAUAGGACAAAGAAAGGCCUAGAAGGGGACACAAUAAUUUCCUGGAUGAAGAAAUUGCAUCUCUCAUGCAUGAGCACAAGCUUUUUGAAGGACAUGUAUAGGAACCACCUUGAAGUGCUGCAGACGAAGAUCAAGUUGUUAAGAGUAGCAGGCAUCAUGGCAAUGGGAAGGCUUAACAGAGCAGGCAUCAUGGUUUAUGGUGGAACCAGCAAGGUACUCUCAAGUAUCAACCUAUCAAGAGCAGGAUACUUAGUACCAUUUUGAGUCAGCGGAUGAGAGUCCUGAGAAGACAGUAGAACAAAAAGACUUUGUUGGGCUAAAGCAGAGAGCAACUGGAUCUCUGUUGUUGAGGAAUUAAGAACUGUGCUUGAUACCAAUAGGAUGCUAAUGGAAAAGCAGAAACGUCAAUUGGGUACUGAGAAAAGAUGUGAGAAAGAGUUGAGGGAAGCAAGCAGAUGGAGAGGCAUGGGCAUACACGAAUGAUUGCACAACAUGCAGACCUGGAAGAGAAGCAUAUUCAAUUGCUUGUACGGCAUAGACGAUGUUGAAAAAGCAGCAGCCAGAGUAGGAGUCAAAGGACCAGAGUUAAGAUUCAUAAACACUUGCAACAGAAACUUCAGCUUAGAAGGUGCAAGCAAAGAGAGAAGGACUGAGAACAAGAGUCUCCAGUCACAACUAAGAGACACAGCUGAAGAUGUUCAAGCAGCAGGAGAGUUGCUUGUUCGACUUAAAGAAGCUGAAGAAUGAUUGAAAAUUGCAGAGCUACAUAUGACGUUACAUUUCUGUUAUACAAGUGUGAGAUAUCAAAGUCAUCAUCAUUUGAUCCAAAAUCUUGUAAUCAAUUUAUCAAUUUAAACAAUUUGUAAACAAGGGAUUUUCUACAAGUGAGUACUCUUUUGCUUCACUUCA